Non-coding RNA from Aegilops tauschii subsp. strangulata, 3175 nucleotides. The record is from RefSeq and is a predicted model, not a curated record. Lineage: Eukaryota; Viridiplantae; Streptophyta; Magnoliopsida; Poales; Poaceae.
UUCGAACUCUCGCGGGGAAACCCCAUGUACUUAGCAGGCACACGCCUUAACCACUCGACCAAAACGUCUUUUAUGCUUUUGGUGCUUCUUUUCCUCUUGUAAACGGUAGGACAUCUAACCAAGGCACGGCAAUCAGACCAUGUACAGCGGCGGCGUGCGGCCAUCGCUUCCGUCCGCGGCGGCGGGAGGAGCCUCCGGCCCGGACGAGCCUCGCGACGCGCGCGUGGUGCGGGAGCUCCUCCGGUCGAUGGGGCUCGGCGAGGGCGAGUACGAGCCGCGGGUCCUGCACCAGUUCCUGGACCUGGCCUACCGCUACGUCGGGGACGUGCUCGGCGACGCCCAGGUCUACGCCGACCACGCAGCCAAGCCCCAGCUCGACGCCGACGACAUCCGCCUCGCCAUCCAGGCCAAGGUCAACUUCUCCUUCUCCCAGCCGCCGCCCCGCGAGAUCUUGCCAAUCAAAAAAAUUGGACCACAAUUGAUGUACCUUAACGCACAAGGAGAGUCUCAUUGCCACUGCUAGAGCACAUCAACCACCCUUUCGUCUCAGUUUUGAUUUGAAGACCACCACGAUCAUUUGAGAUCUGGAUUGUCUGUACAGAUUUUGUUGGUAGUUGGCAGGAGUAGAUCAUCGAUGCUUAUGGCUGCGGGGCUCAUGGAGCCAGAAGAGGCUGUCGGUGCCGGCGACCUUGUCGUCUUUGUCUUGUGCAAAGGUAUCAGAUGAGGGUAUUCGAAGAAGACACCAUGAAUUGGUAUUCAAAAAAGAUACCACCUUUCAUUACAUUGGUAUUCAAAAAAUAUACCACCUUAUGGCCUUUCCUGUUUCCUGUGACUUAAGACUUCCAACUCUUUAACUGGGAUAGUAUCAAAAGAAAAUGAUUUAUGUAACUGGGACACAAUAAAGUAAUUUUGUACAACUAUAUUUUUGUGCACUAGAUAAAAUGUUACUCUGUUUGAAAUAGCACACGAUUUCUCCCUGCUUGAAGUAUGGUUUGUGCUCUCUUCCUCCAUCCCGUGUAUGCGAUUGAUGUCCCCCUCUAAUUGUUUGGUGUUGGAGUCUCUGUAUAAUCAGUGCCUCUUUGCUUAAUCUGCUGACGUAUGCUAUUUACAGUUCCUUCCCCGGCUCCUAACUGAUCUUUAGAGUUACUAUUUAUUAGUAUUUUGUGCUACAACAUAAUUAGUGCCCGGCAAACCCUGUUUACCCUCUUAUGUCACUAUUGUCCAUUGUCAUUCUUUUAUGCAUUAUAACUCAGUUUCAUAUAUCCGCUGCAACAUAAUAUUCUCCAUGGGUUGUUGAAUUGUUUUGCUCCAUACAUCCCAAAAAAACACAGCCUAUUUGCAUUACAUGGUUUUGCUACCUCUUAUGAAAUUGCAUUCACUGUGUUAUGCGGAAAAUUUACUUUGGCCACUCUUUUAAGUGUAUAUUUUCAAUUUCAAGUUUUUCUUUGUAUUACUCUUACGAAAACUCGCUGAGUUUUUUCCUGUGAGCCUGACACAUUGUUUAAUAACUGUUAUAGCUUCAUAACUGUUAUACCCUUCUGAUCUUCUCCUUUUCUUAUGUCAGCUAACCAGUGAGGAUAUAUAUAAAAAGGAUACCACCAAUAGCAUAGCACCCUGCUGCUGUAAUUACAUGUAUGUAUAAAUCCUAUGCUAACUUUAGGUUUUUACCUUAUGGCCUUUCCUCUAAUCAUAUGAGGUACACAGAGAUGAAGUUGAUUUUAGUUCUGUAAAAUUUGAUGUAUUUAUCCAAUGAAAAUGCCCUACUGUUGCCAGCCUGCCAUUAUAUGUAGGUAUAAAAUCUACUCUGGGUUCUUCCAUUUAUGGCCUUUCCUCUAAUCAUAAGAGGUACAAAGGAGAUGCAUUUCAUGAAACUGGAAUAUUUCAGUUCUCUUGCUGGUGUCCGUGCUUUUUUUUAAUCUCACAUGGCUUACUUGCUAUCUAAGUGUUUUCAUUAAACUUUCUCUAUAGCAAGCUUGCUGAAGUUGUAACCGAACAAAAGCAAGGCUCUCUUGACACACUAUCUUUACACACAAAGAGAAGCCAGACUCCCAACCUACCAUGCCCCCUGUAAUUACAACCGAACAGAAGCAAGGCUCACCCACCUAUCAUGACUCUAUAUAGUUCAUUUGUUUGAAUACGAAUCUGGAAUUUGUAAACCACUGUGAUAGCUAGAGCAUAGUCAAGGCGUUGGUGUGUCACUAUGUAUAUUGAUAAAUGAAGAAAAAUAAAAAAGACAGAGGUGAGAAGUUGGGCAUGUCGUGCUGCAACUAGCUGCUUAAUUCAUUUCUGAUCCAUCAUGGUUUGUCAUUUUUUGUUGCAGGUACCUGUUUCAUAUAAUUAUAGUUGCAACUAAUAAAGUCAUCGAUUUUAACGAGGUCCAUAAGAUAAUAAUGUCUCCAUUGAGAUGUGCAAUGAAAUAUCGAAGGAACCUAUCCUUUUGUUUGUGGAUGCAUGAAGUAAUGAUGUCUGGCUAUGGGAGUGUCUCUUCGGAUGUUCUAAGGCAGUUUCCUGUGUCUCUGCUAGCUCCGAUUCUAUUGCGCCCUAUUGUCCGACAUAUGUUUAUUUAUGUGUUUGACCCACGUGUUUAGUUAAUGUUGUUAUGCUGUCGAAGGACAAGCAGAUGUUGCAGACUGUAUGUGGCCCUAUGUACCCUCUUCAGCCUGGACAGUGCUGAGGAUGAAUACAAACUUAUAUGUAAUCGGGUGGUGCUUGCUUUACUUAAGACGCCCGCUGUUCUAUUUCUGAUUUCUUGCUUGGUCCUGUAGAUAUCUACCAUAUUGUAGUUAAAGUUUCUGAUGUACACAUGUUUCAGCCAUAAACAUGGAAGCAAUAUUUGUACCUAUAAAGGAUAUUAUCAUUUGUGAUAUCAGGUUUCUACUACUGCCUGUCUUUGUAUAUGGUUUGGGCACCAUGUGUGCAUUGAACAUUCUGAUCUCUUGGUUAUAGCCACUAUAUAACCAAGAGAUCAGAAUGUUCAAUGCACACAUGCUGCCUCUCCUCAUAUGAAAUCAAAGUCAAGUUAUGGGGAAACCUUUCUGCUAAGUUUGAUAGUGAGACAUCAUUUUAUGUGGAAAAAGUCAACCGGUGGUAGUAAUAUUUUAUGGAACUAUUGUUCGUAUCUAUAAUGAUGAGCAUUGCUUUUUUUUCUAUCUUCUAAACUAUUGAGUAUGAAAUA